AAAUAAAAGACUCCCCCAAAUAAUUCCCUUUUCACAUCUUCAAAUUUCUUCCAUUUAUAUUUUUCAUUGUCAGUUUCCAGUGCAGCUUAACUCUGAGUGUGCUGAAGCUUGAAAUGUAGCUUCCGAUUUAUAAUAGCGACAGGACAUGCAGCAAAUGUCAACAAAUCCCCUGUCACCCAGGCAAGGAGGAAAUGUGAGAGACUCAAAAAUGGACAUAAUGAGUGUCAAAGACCCAAACAAGUUAAUUUCCUGAGUUACAAGCAACCAGAGCAGGAAGGAGUAGAAAAAUGCUGGUUAACAAUGAUUCUUAGAAAUGUCCAAGUCUCCUAA
RNAcentral lists this long non-coding RNA (330 nucleotides) under Cyanistes caeruleus (blue tit). Its description in RNAcentral is "lncRNA (ENSCCEG00000022599.1)". The record is from RNAcentral. Lineage: Eukaryota; Metazoa; Chordata; Aves; Passeriformes; Paridae.